This is a long non-coding RNA of Homo sapiens (human), 234 nucleotides long. NCBI's taxonomy places the organism in Eukaryota, Metazoa, Chordata, Mammalia, Primates, Hominidae. The record is from Ensembl.
GCGGUCCCCGCGGUCCAGGGCGUGGACAAGAGCCGAGGCGCCCGCGUGAUCUCGGACUGAGGGGUCUGCGCCGUGGGCAAGGAGCAGCGAGGCCACCGCGGCGCCCCCACCCCCGGCGCAAGCGUGCAUGAGCGCCGUGCGCCCUAAUCGGUCUGCGAUAUUGGGGUCCGCGCCUUGCUCCAGGAGGCCCUCUCCUCCUUUGGCCUCUCUGUAGGGGCUCCCUCAACACGGUCC